UACGUAGGGGGCUAGCGUUGUCCGGAAUCAUUGGGCGUAAAGAGCGUGUAGGCGGCCAUACAGGUCAGCUGUGAAAACUCGAGGCUCAACCUCGAGACGUCGGUUGAAACCGUAUGGCUAGAGUCCGGAAGAGGAGAGUGGAAUUCCCGGUGUAGCGGUGAAAUGCGCAGAUAUCGGGAAGAACACCCGUGGCGAAGGCGGCUCUCUGGGACGGUACUGACGCUGAGACGCGAAAGCGUGGGGAGCGAACAGG
RNAcentral lists this ribosomal RNA (253 nucleotides) under uncultured bacterium. RNAcentral describes it as "partial 16S ribosomal RNA". It matches the Rfam family "Bacterial small subunit ribosomal RNA", at positions 524 to 776 of the family's 1533-position model. The record is from RNAcentral.